This is a long non-coding RNA of Cyprinus carpio carpio, 1557 nucleotides long. The record is from Ensembl. Lineage: Eukaryota; Metazoa; Chordata; Actinopteri; Cypriniformes; Cyprinidae.
GUUCACCAAAAAUUACAAAUCUUUUUUUUUUUUGAACACCAAAGAUACAUAUUGAUGAAAUAUAUUAAUAAAUGUCUCAAUGUUUUUGACUCCAGUGUUCUCUUUUAGUUCUGCAAAAGGAAUAAUCUCAUACAGGGCUACAGCUGCAUUGCUUUUGGGCUGAUUGGAUUUCUUCAUGAGUGGCCCAUGUCAUGCUUUCUCAGUCGAGGAUGAACUGGGCCCCUGGUUCCCUGGGAUCAGCCGUCUGGAUGCACAGUCAGUUCUGCAGGUGUAAAAUCCCAAAGGAGACAUGUGCACAUAAAACAGCAUGAACAUUGUGGUUAAUGAUGAAACUAGACUGCCAGGUGCCGUCUGGGUGGGCUUGUUGCCAUGGUGAGGAAUCUGGUGAAUGCAUUUGAGAAAGGUAGAAGGGGGAAAAGGACACAGAAGAUGUAGGAAGAUUCUGACAGGAGCAAACAUAACAGCGGAUCACUGCUGCUUAAUGUGGAAUUGAGCCAGAGUUUGUGUGUGUGUGAAAUGUAAGGUCAUUUCACGGUCUAAAAAAGAUGUGUCGUGUGGGUGUCAUUUAGCCUUGUUUUAUUAGUGUUUCUGGGGUCAACCUUUUUGUUUUUAAGUCAGUUUGAGUAAAUAUUGCAAAUGCAGUAUCUAUUUAAAAAAAAUAAAAAAUUCCCCAGCAAUUCUGUGAGUGUUUUGUGACAUUUAUAUUUUGCUACAUUUGUUCACUGAAAGGUUAUCUGGGAAACUCAAAAUGGUUCUUCAAUGGCAUUGGUGUGAAAACUCCAUUUUGGAACCUUUAUUUUUAAGAGUGUUUUUAAGAUCAGUAACUUUGUUGUAGUAUUUGUCAUGAUGGAAGCAUCUGUUAUGUAAAUGAAUACAUGUAAAGAUUGUCACACUUUGUUCAGAUAAUCAAAGCCUGUGUGUUUACAAGGCACAUAGGUCCCACCCAGACAAACACAUUCACAGUGUGACAGACAAUAAGUCAAUGAGAUUGUUAAUGACUUGCCAUACACAUCACAUGAAUUAAUAUAUUUUCUUAAAGUGUCAUUAUAUGUAAGUGUCAUUAAGUAUUCUGCAUCAAGUACAAACAUGCAGGUUAUUCCGUAAAUGCUUCCUGUGUGUGUGUAAGCCAGGUGUAAACUUGGGCUCAUCUGUGUUUCUGUGGAUCACACAGACACAUUCUGACGGGAGAGUCAGACAAAAUUAAUGCAGUGGCAUUGGAGGCCAGUGUGCAUCCAGACUCAAUGUAUUAUCAUUACCUGAAGAAAGAGAGAGGAGAAAAAGUUGAUGAUUUUGAGCCUAUCUGUGUUAAUCAGUACAUGCCCUAUUAGGCUGCAAGACUCCAAAAUAUCCAAAAUAACAGAGCACCAUUAAAACCAAUGAAGGUAUACAGUAGUUGGGAAGACUGGGACUACAAGUAUAACCAAAAAAAAUAAAAUAAAUAAAAUCCCUUGUUAAUUUGAUAGGUAGAUAAUCAAAGAAUUGUCAGAUUGGGUCAAGUUGUCACAUGUCAUCAUAAUGUGUUGUCAAAAAAUUGGUUUGAUAUUUUGUAUGUUACAU